AGUGAACGCUGGCGGUAGGCCUAACACAUGCAAGUCGAACGGCAGCACAGUAAGAGCUUGCUCUUACGGGUGGCGAGUGGCGGACGGGUGAGGAAUACAUCGGAAUCUACUUUUUCGUGGGGGAUAACGUAGGGAAACUUACGCUAAUACCGCAUACGACGUACGUGUGAAAGCAUGGGAUCUUCGGACCUUGCGCGAUUGAAUGAGCCGAUGUCGGAUUAGCUAGUUGGCGGGGUAAAGGCCCACCAAGGCGACGAUCCGUAGCUGGUCUGAGAGGAUGAUCAGCCACACUGGAACUGAGACACGGUCCAGACUCCUACGGGAGGCAGCAGUGGGGAAUAUUGGACAAUGGGCGAAAGCCUGAUCCAGCCAUACCGCGUGGGUGAAGAAGGCCUUCGGGUUGUAAAGCCCUUUUGUUGGGAAAGAAAAGCAGCAGGUUAAUACCUCGCUGUUCUGACGGUACCAAAAGAAUAAGCACCGGCUAACUUCGUG
Molecule: ribosomal RNA, 492 nt
Filed under: uncultured bacterium
Lineage: Bacteria
Description: partial 16S ribosomal RNA
Rfam family: Bacterial small subunit ribosomal RNA
Source: RNAcentral